GCCCCCAGCUAAUAUAUGUUCACACUCCCUGCAAAUGGAGCAGCAUAAUUUGCUUUGCUUCUCUGGCCUCAGCACAAAAGUAGUUUUGUUAAUGUGGCCAAGCUGUGAUGAAUCAGACACCUUACUUUCUAGCGAACAUCCAGCCUGAUCUACUUCUGGACAGCUGAGGCCCUGGCUUGAAAGACGAAGACAGAGACAGAGAUACAGAUGGGAGGAUAUUACAACACUAAAGCUUCCUUCAGGGUGAUGGGGACCAGGUUUGAAUCGAAUUACACACAAAACAAAGGAAGCACACUAUCCAGGUUCCAGAUGCUACCUUGAUGACAACCAGACUUCCUUGGGCAGACAACCCCACCAAUGCCUCCUGGAGCCCCGCUUCCCCAUAGCCCCACCCCACUAGGAAAAGAGAGAAACAGUCUGAGAGUAUGAAUCGACCUGUCAAUGCCCAUGUUCAGCGGGGAAGCAAUUACAGAAGCCAGACCUUCCACCUUCUGCACCCCAUAAUGACCCUGGGUCCAUACUCCCAGAGGGUUAAAGAAUAGGAAAGUUAUCAGGGUAGGGGAUGGGAUAUGGGGUUCUGGUGGUUAGAAUUGUGUGGAGCUGUACCCCUUUUAUCCUAUGGUUUUUGUCAGUGUUUCCUUUUAAUAAAUAAAAAUUAAAA
Molecule: long non-coding RNA, 661 nt
Organism: Erinaceus europaeus (western European hedgehog)
Lineage: Eukaryota; Metazoa; Chordata; Mammalia; Eulipotyphla; Erinaceidae
Exons: 3
Source: RefSeq, a predicted model, not a curated record